AAUGAGUUCUGUACAUUGAGCAUGAAUCAGCAAGGCCCUGCUAGAGUGCUAGAACAUACACACCCACAGGACACUCAUGGGCUUAUUUUAUCCACAUGCACAGUGGCACAGCCAUUAACUACACAGGGGAAUGCAGUCCAGGUGGGGAGAGCAAGAAACAGCUGGAGUACAACAGGAGCUAGAGUUUGCCAAACUACAGAAAACUGACCAGUCUCUUGCUGCCUCUGCAGGGGCCAGAAGAGAACAGGAGGAGAGUAGGAUUUGGAGAGAUGGGGCUGCUCUUUGGACAGGGAUGUCUGCCACUCUGAGUCAGGGUCCUCACAGUGUGCAGAUAUCCUAGGUACUCUCAACAUCAGCCUCAGUGUUGGGUGCAUGAGUGUCAGGAAAAGUAAGAGUGAUCCACCCCUUUACCCCUCUCCUGCAUCAAGAAAAUUUAGGUCCCUGUUCCUCCUAUAGAUUGUACAGCUCACGGUCCCAGGCAGGCUGUGCUCAGUUACACUCUCCCCUUUCCACCAUUCCAGGAGGACUUCCUGGAGCCCAAUGUUGACAGCACGAGAGAGAUGGGGCAGUAUUAGAGCAGAAGGCAUCAGAUUGGAUCAGCAGGGCUGGUGUGAAGACUCUUAUGUGGAGGAGGUUUUACCAUUGUAUUACUCAGUUCUUAUUGAAGGAAUGGAAGCAGAGUAUGUGAACCUUAGGAAGGUGUAGUAGGUUUGUGUGGGGACUCACUGCAAAAAUUUUGAUUCAAAAUUAAAAGGGCUUAAAAAGUUGUUACAAAAUAUAAUUGCAUUGGGGGAAGGAGAAUGGGUUGGAGGUAGAGGAUUGCAGGAACCUAGGACCUUGUAUAGCAAGUGAUAGAAGGCACUGGUAUAUCUGGUCACAUGGAAUACCUACCACAGAUCUUAUUUUUCACCUGUUUCCGAGACCCCAAGAUCCAUCCCUGGAGAUUUUUGUUAUUCUGUGGGCUGAGGAGGCUGACUUUGUCCCUAGUAUCUGUGGAGUGUACCAUUGUGACAGGGCUGGUUCCAUGAUGUCACUGUUGCCCAGCACCCCUCUCUCUGUGUUCUACUGCAGUUAGAGGCUUACUGACUUGGAGGUUUUUUUUUAUUUUUUAUUUAGGAAGCUCAUUCAUCACAGGAGGACACAGGUGACUGCAACCUGCUUUCUUCAUUUCCUGCUGAGUUGGGGACAGUCCCUGCAAGAUGAGCAAAAAGAAGAGGGUAAACCAUCUUGACUAAGAUACCUCAGCUGCAGUGAAGAACCCAACACUUCAUUGUCCAAGCACUUAAGCCCAAGUACUUGAGUCCCAGUGUAGACCACUCCACUCACAUAGUAAGUGACAUAUCAAAUAGUCCUUGCCCCCAACUCAUCUGUAUCCCCAGCACUGAUCCCUAAACUCUCAGGAAAGGAUUCCCUCUUGUUGACUAAGUCACUCCCAUCAGUGACAAAUAUUUGUCAAAAUGAGAAAUAAAUUGACAAAUUUUCUCUUCAGCCAUUUUGUUCAGUUCACCAAAGUUUGGUUACUGCCUCACUUCACUCAAGAAAUCUCUGGUCCAACAAUCUCUCUGUCCAAAUGAGAGCUUCACCAAUGUGCUGAUUUCCCAAGCUGCCUGCAGCAUCAGACCUCACCCUCCUGCCUAUUCAGGCUCUUUUUGCUCUUGACUUUUACUGUUGCCAGUCUCUUCUCACCACAUAAGGUCAAGAGGCUGUAUCCUAACACAAGACCAUAAAGCACAGAUUCUGAACUUUCUCCCACUGUCCACGGACCACACUUCUUAAAACCUAAACUUCUUUCAUGAUACCCCUCUCUUCUCAUUAUAAACAAGAAUCUUAAGUCCAAAUUCUUGGCUCUGAAUCCUAGCCACCUUCACUCAGUCCCACUCACUUUCCUUCCAAACAUCCUUCCCCCAGCUUAGCUGUCACUGCCCCAGCUCCACACUUGGCUGUGCCCUGGACAAUGCUACUGCCUCUCUGACUUCUGCUAGCAUCCAACACAGGCCUCCACUCCCUUAAACCAUUCCCUACAAGGGAUUUCUCAUGUAUCUCAGAUCUUGUACUCACACUUUUGCACAUGAAUUUACUUCUUAGAAAGUAUUAUUUAAUAAAUUCAGUUGCUUUCUAAAGUAAUUGAGAUCAUUCUGAGUUUUAUUAUCUUUGUGUAAACUUGCAUAUAAUUGUUAUUGCCAUUUUGUGGCAUUUAAUGUAGUUUUAAGAUAAUAACUUCACAAUGCAUAUUUGCAAUUCAAAAUUUAGGAGGAAGGCAUUGUCAUAUUCACUUUUUACAUAAGACACAUGAGCUCAUGGGGUCUGCGCUAUGGUGCAAUAGGUUAAUCCUCUGCCUGCAGUGCUGGUGUCCCAUAUGGGCACUGGUUCUAGUCCUGGCUGCUCUUCUUCCAAUACAGCUCUCUGCUGUGGCCUGGGAAAUCAGUAGAAGAUGGUCCAAGUUCUUGAGCCCCUGCACCUACGUGGGAGACUGGGAAGAAGCACCUGGCUCCUGGCUUGGAUUUGCACAGUUCUGGCCAUUGUGGCCAUUUGGGGAGUGAACCAAUGGAAGGAAGACCUUUCUCUCUGUUUCUUCAUCUCACUGUCUAUAAUUCUACCUCUGAAAGUAAAUAAAUAAAAUCUUUAAAACUAGACACAUGAGCUCUCAAAGAGGUUAAGUUACUAUCCAAGAUCACACAGCUAGUAGAUUGUAGACCCAGGAAUUGAACAUCAAAGGCUGUGUUAAGAUGGAAGUUUAUAGCAACCAGUGGCUACAUCAACAAACUUGAAAGACAUCAAAUAAAUGAUCUAAGGAUGUAUCUCAAGGACCCAGAAAAACAAGAACACACCAAACCUAUACUUGGAGGAAAGAAAUAAUUAAAAUUAGAGAAGAAAUAAACAAAAUUGAGGCAAAAAAAUAUAGAAAAGAUCAGUGAAAUGAAGAGCUGCUUUUUGGAAAAAAUAAAAAAUAUACACCAUUGGCCCAACUAACCCAAGAAAAGGAAGAAAACCCAUAUUGAAAAUUGGAGAUGAAAAAGGAUUAUAAUGAAUAUCACAUAUAAAAAAAAAGAAUCAUCAG
This is a non-coding RNA of Oryctolagus cuniculus (rabbit), 3058 nucleotides long. The record is from RefSeq and is a predicted model, not a curated record. NCBI's taxonomy places the organism in Eukaryota, Metazoa, Chordata, Mammalia, Lagomorpha, Leporidae.